UACAGAGGGGGCAAGCGUUGUUCGGAAUUACUGGGCGUAAAGGGCGCGUAGGCGGCCUGUUAAGUCGAACGUGAAAUCCCUGGGCUCAACCCAGGAACUGCGUCCGAUACUGGCAGACUUGAGUGUGGCAGAGGGGGGUGGAAUUCCAGGUGUAGCAGUGAAAUGCGUAGAUAUCUGGAGGAACACCGAUGGCGAAGGCAGCCCCCUGGGCUAACACUGACGCUGAUGCACGAAAGCGUGGGGAGCAAACAGG
Molecule: ribosomal RNA, 253 nt
Filed under: uncultured bacterium
Lineage: Bacteria
Description: partial 16S ribosomal RNA
Rfam family: Bacterial small subunit ribosomal RNA
Source: RNAcentral